UACGUAGGGGGCAAGCGUUAUCCGGAUUUACUGGGUGUAAAGGGAGCGUAGACGGCAAUACAAGCCGGAAGUGAAAUACCCGGGCUCAACCUGGGAACUGCUUUGGAAACUGUAUGGCUGGAGUGCUGGAGAGGUAAGCGGAAUUCCUAGUGUAGCGGUGAAAUGCGUAGAUAUUAGGAGGAACACCAGUGGCGAAGGCGGCUUACUGGACAGUAACUGACGUUGAGGCUCGAAAGCGUGGGGAGCAAACAGG
RNAcentral lists this ribosomal RNA (253 nucleotides) under uncultured bacterium. RNAcentral describes it as "partial 16S ribosomal RNA". It matches the Rfam family "Bacterial small subunit ribosomal RNA", at positions 524 to 776 of the family's 1533-position model. The record is from RNAcentral.